RNAcentral lists this ribosomal RNA (467 nucleotides) under uncultured bacterium. RNAcentral's name for it is "partial 16S ribosomal RNA". It matches the Rfam family "Bacterial small subunit ribosomal RNA", at positions 29 to 507 of the family's 1533-position model. The record is from RNAcentral.
ACGAACGCUGGCGGCGUGCUUAACACAUGCAAGUCGAACGGAAAGGCCCUGCUUUUGUGGGGUGCUCGAGUGGCGAACGGGUGAGUAACACGUGAGUAACCUGCCCUUGACUUUGGGAUAACUUCAUGGAACUGGGGCUAAUACCGGAUAGGAGCUCCUGCUGCAUGGUGGGGGUUGGAAAGUUUCGGCGGUUGGGGAUGGACUCGCGGCUUAUCAGCUUGUUGGUGGGGUAGUGGCUUACCAAGGCUUUGACGGGUAGCCGGCCUGAGAGGGUGACCGGCCACAUUGGGACUGAGAUACGGCCCAGACUCCUACGGGAGGCAGCAGUGGGGAAUAUUGCACAAUGGGCGGAAGCCUGAUGCAGCAACGCCGCGUGCGGGAUGACGGCCUUCGGGUUGUAAACCGCUUUCGCCUGUGACGAAGCGUGAGUGACGGUAAUGGGUAAAGAAGCACCGGCUAACUACGUG